CCUACGGGAGGCAGCAGUGAGGAAUAUUGGUCAAUGGGCGCGAGCCUGAACCAGCCAAGUAGCGUGAAGGAUGACUGCCCUACGGGUUGUAAACUUCUUUUAUAAAGGAAUAAAGUGAGGCACGUGUGCCUUUUUGUAUGUACUUUAUGAAUAAGGAUCGGCUAACUCCGUGCCAGCAGCCGCGGUAAUACGGAGGAUCCGAGCGUUAUCCGGAUUUAUUGGGUUUAAAGGGAGCGUAGAUGGGUUGUUAAGUCAGUUGUGAAAGUUUGCGGCUCAACCGUAAAAUUGCAAUUGAUACUGGCAGUCUUGAGUACAGUUGAGGUAGGCGGAAUUCGUGGUGUAGCGGUGAAAUGCUUAGAUAUCACGAAGAACUCCGAUUGCGAAGGCAGCUUACUAAACUGCCACUGACAUUGAUGCUCGAAAGUGUGGGUAUCAAACAGGAUUAGAUACCCCAGUAGUC
RNAcentral lists this ribosomal RNA (460 nucleotides) under uncultured bacterium. RNAcentral's name for it is "partial 16S ribosomal RNA". It matches the Rfam family "Bacterial small subunit ribosomal RNA", at positions 338 to 795 of the family's 1533-position model. The record is from RNAcentral.